Long non-coding RNA from Chrysoperla carnea, 201 nucleotides. RefSeq lists it as uncharacterized. The transcript has 3 exons. The record is from RefSeq and is a predicted model, not a curated record. Lineage: Eukaryota; Metazoa; Arthropoda; Insecta; Neuroptera; Chrysopidae.
CAGAUAUUUGAAUAUUCCGUCAGGGACUAACACUUUGGGUGUGCACACUCAGAAUAUUUACGUUUUAAGAAAAAGAUUUUGUUGAACAACAAAGAUCGCGUUAAACCUAAAUCAAAGCACGUGUGGUGAAAUCUUUGACAAGCCGUAAUAUAAUUUCACAAUGUUUGAAUAUAAAAAAGAUUUUUUAAUAUCAGUAAUAGA